CAUCAACCUCAUCUCCGUCGAGGUCAGGCACUUGUGAGGCAUGGCCAGAGAAAUGAAACACCAAUGAGUCCCCAGACUGGCAACCCUGGACAAGCCACUUCAUGGCCAUCCUGAUGUUGCGCUUCGUUGGUAUCCGAUAAGUAGAAGGGUUGUGAAGGGGGCAGUGAUGCCUUUACAUUAGUAUCAGUAGCCAGUUGAUUGUCAGCACAGGCACUAAGACAGAUGGCCAGUGCAUCAUUUGUACUUUCACAACCACCUGAUGAAGAUUUGUUGCCUCCCCACUGUUUGCUGGUAAAAUCCAAAUAUGGAAAAACAACCGUAAAAGAGAAGAUGUUAUUGCCCCCGUUUGCUCGAGUAAACUGAUUAUGACUAAUGUUAUUUUGAGAGUAUAUGUGAAACUAUUUUAUACAUUUUUUUGAAAAAAAUUGAUUAUUUGAAA
Molecule: non-coding RNA, 439 nt
Organism: Camellia sinensis
Lineage: Eukaryota; Viridiplantae; Streptophyta; Magnoliopsida; Ericales; Theaceae
Source: RefSeq, a predicted model, not a curated record